Long non-coding RNA from Thalassophryne amazonica, 1490 nucleotides. RefSeq lists it as uncharacterized. NCBI's taxonomy places the organism in Eukaryota, Metazoa, Chordata, Actinopteri, Batrachoidiformes, Batrachoididae. The record is from RefSeq and is a predicted model, not a curated record. The transcript has 2 exons.
GCCGAUUUGACCUUCAGGCUGUCAGGAAUUUCAGUCCUGUCUGAAAACUGUGACCUACUGGCUUCAAACGUGACCUUUAAGGCGCGUUCGCUGCAUUCGGCACAAAGCAGAUCGGGUCUUACUCCCGUCACUUUAACCAGUAGAGCACCAGGCUGUUGCUCUGUGCUAAAAACAGCCGUGCCACUCGGGAAGCUCAAACUAUCCAAUGGGUACGCACUGCUGUACUGUUGCUAGGCCCUCCUCUCCUUUCCUCUCCUCUCCUCUCCUCUCUCUCUCUCUCUCUCUCCCUCCUGCUCUGGACGACAUAACACAGAAAAAUGGCUGAAUAAUAAAUUCUAACUCAAUAAACGAGGAGACAGCAGCUGCACUCAGACAGAAAGACCCUUGUCUGGUUUCAUUUUUUGAAAGCAGGAAAAGUGAAUCUGUGCCCACGUGCACACGCGCCAAGAACUCGCACACCAACGCAGCAGCAGUCUGGUUUCUAUUUUAGCACAAUUCUUCAAGUAGCGUUGGGAGUCCUGUCCAAACGAUGUUUUUCGGUUUCGUCCUGCAGUGUUCCGGUUCUGUGGUAGAACAGAUGACGACUGCAGUGAUGUUUAGGGAAGGCAACCGACUAACCCACAUCAGAGGGGCAGGGACAAACUGUCAGCACAGCACCUUUAUGACCUGAAUUAGACAUAGGUGCAAAGUAAAGCUACAAACUCUACAGCAACCAGAAGACACUCUGCUCCCAUCUGUCCAGCUGCCGAUGAAGACCACCAGUGAGACAUGCCUGGGAUAUCCUGUGUGAUGUCAGUGCAUUUUGGAGCUUCAUAGAUCCUUCUGUCCAUCCAUCAGUCAUCGAUCUUUGACUCUAAGAUUCCUGCUGAACUGGAACAUGCGAGAUCUAUGCAGGAGCUGUGGAGGUCUGGAGCAUGCUAAUGUGACGGAGGCCAGCAGGAGGCGCUCUGCGUGUGGUAGUCAAUGGGCCUCACUCCUCAACAGCCAAAGGAUGCUCUGGCCACUCAGUUCAGAGCAUCCUUUGGCUGUCGGGACAGAGCAUCCACCUCCCAUGCCGGAGAUCGUGGAUUUGUGUCCCGAUGGCAGAAGGCGGGAUGAGCCACAAUCAUAACGCAGAGCAGACCCGCUACACUAAGGACUUGUGGAAGCAUUGCGUGGACGGGGUCUUGGGGAGUGGAGGAGCUAUGAGUCUUUGUGAACACUUGGCUGUAUAUGUUUGCUUAACUGCAACAUUGAUGUCUUUGCAUGUGUGACAAUUCUUUGUUGUCCUUUGUUGUGUUAUUUUGUUAUUGUAGCAGAGCUAAAGCAGAUGGUCACCCUGCCGAGUCUAGUCUGCUUGAGGUUUCUUCAUAUAAUCGAAAAAAAACGCAUGAAGGCUUUUUCUUACCACUGUUGCCAAUGUGCUUGCUCAGGGAGGGUGAGCAAGGUUAGGCUUUACUUGUGUCAAGUCCCUUUAGGGCACGCUGUACAAAUAAAUUGAACUGAAUGUG